Molecule: long non-coding RNA, 780 nt
Organism: Salvia hispanica
Lineage: Eukaryota; Viridiplantae; Streptophyta; Magnoliopsida; Lamiales; Lamiaceae
Source: RefSeq, a predicted model, not a curated record
AGUUCACUUGAAUCGGAGCUAAGGAGGUUUCUUGGUCAGUGUCUGAAGCUCAAGUCGAUUCCCAGCUUCGGUAAUUUGUUAGUGAAGGUCGGAAUUUACUUGGUGCUGUCUGGAGGAAAAUAAUGAUAAGCAGGAUCUGAUACAUAUUAUCUUACAGUGGUACCCAGAAUUGAAGUAUCUUGCCCUAAAACUCAUAGGUCUGAAUGUUUCAUAUUCAAGAAUAACUUGUCAAUGUUGUUUCACAUUGUGAGGAAUAACCGCAUGUGCUUGUCAGGUUCAGUGAUGACUAUCGUCUUUCUUUCUUCUUCUCUUUCACCUCUUUGAUAGUUUAUUUUUGGUGGGGCUGGGGUUGUUUGGUUAUGAUGUAACAUGUACAUUAGAAAAUGUACUCAUAUAUUUGGCAGAGGUUGCGAUGAUUUUUUGCAGUCCAAUGACUAUGAAAAUGCUGAAAGUAUUGGAAAAAUUAUUUUGACAAAGAGUCUAUGGAGAAUGUAUUUUCUGGUUGAAUGGUGUUAUCAGAUGCAUCAGCCUGUCCUCCUUGGGGUGAAACUGGAGGGGGGAAAACAACUGUAUGUAGUUGCUCAGUAUCAUGAAGGAUUCCAAGUUACAUAUACUGAAUUGUCAUCAGUUGCAAGUUUGGUCUCCUGCUCUGGACAUGUAAUCUAGGUCUUUUGGUUUUCGGGCAAUAGAUGUUUUUGCAUCAUUCUCUACAUCAGCCUCAAAUCGGUUGAGAUUGCUAGUUUGUGGGGUGUUGUAGGGCCUGAGACUUUGUAUCCUGUU